This 378-nucleotide ribosomal RNA is filed under the name uncultured bacterium. RNAcentral describes it as "partial 16S ribosomal RNA". It matches the Rfam family "Bacterial small subunit ribosomal RNA", at positions 338 to 713 of the family's 1533-position model. The record is from RNAcentral.
CCUACGGGUGGCAGCAGUGAGGAAUAUUGGUCAAUGGGCGGGAGCCUGAACCAGCCAAGUAGCGUGAAGGAUGACUGCCCAGUGGAUUGUAAACUUCUUUUAUAUGGGAAUAAAGUGCAGUAUGUAUACUGCUUUGCAUGUACCUUAUGAAUAAGGAUCGGCUAACUCCGUGCCAGCAGCCGCGGUAAUACGGAGGAUGCGAGCGUUAUCCGGAUUUAUUGGGUUUAAAGGGGGCGCAGGCGGGUUGUUAAGUCCGUUGUGAAAGUUGGCGGCUCAACCCUAAAAUUGCAUUUGAUACUGGCAUCCUUGUGUACAGACAAGUUAGGCGGAAUUGGUGUGGAGGCGGUGAACUGCUUGGUUUUCACGAGAAACCCGACU